CACUGAUCAGAAAUACACUAACCGGCUAGUUGAGGUUUAGGGUUUUCAAUGUGCCGACCACUGAUCAGAAAUACACUAACCGGCUAGUUGAGGUUUAGGGUUUUCAAUGUGCCGACCACUGAUCAGAAAUACACUCACCGGCUAGUUGAGGUUUAGGGUUUUCAAUGUGCCGACCACUGAUCAGAAAUACACUAACCGGCUAGUUGAGGUUUAGGGUUUUCAAUGUGCCGACCACUGAUCAGAAAUACACUAACCGGCUAGUUGAGGUUUAGGGUUUUCAAUGUGCCGACCACUGAUCAGAAAUACACUAACCGGCUAGUUGAGGUUUAGGGUUUUCAAUGUGCCGACCACUGAUCAGAAAUACACUGACCGGCUAGUUGAGGUUUAGGGUUUUCAAUGUGCCGACCACUGAUCAGAAAUACACUAACCGGCUAGUUGAGGUUUAGGGUUUUCAAUGUGCCGACCACUGAUCAGAAAUACACUGACCGGCUAGUUGAGGUUUAGGGUUUUCAAUGUGCCGACCACUGAUCAGAAAUACACUGACCGGCUAGUUGAGGUUUAGGGUUUUCAAUGUGCCGACCACUGAUCAGAAAUACACUGACCGGCUAGUUGAGGUUUAGGGUUUUCAAUGUGCCGACCACUGAUCAGAAAUACACUGACCGGCUAGUUGAGGUUUAGGGUUUUCAAUGUGCCGACCACUGAUCAGAAAUACACUGACCGGCUAGUUGAGGUUUAGGGUUUUCAAUGUGCCGACCACUGAUCAGAAAUACACUGACCGGCUAGUUGAGGUUUAGGGUUUUCAAUGUGCCGACCACUGAUCAGAAAUACACUGACCGGCUAGUUGAGGUUUAGGGUUUUCAAUGUGCCGACCACUGAUCAGAAAUACACUGACCGGCUAGUUGAGGUUUAGGGUUUUCAAUGUGCCGACCACUGAUCAGAAAUACACUAACCGG
This is a long non-coding RNA of Oncorhynchus keta (chum salmon), 953 nucleotides long. RefSeq lists it as uncharacterized. The record is from RefSeq and is a predicted model, not a curated record. The transcript has 4 exons. NCBI's taxonomy places the organism in Eukaryota, Metazoa, Chordata, Actinopteri, Salmoniformes, Salmonidae.